CCUACGGGAGGCAGCAGUCGAGAAUCAUUCACAAUGGGGGAAACCCUGAUGGUGCGACGCCGCGUGGGGGAAUGAAGGUCUUCGGAUUGUAAACCCCUGUCAUGUGGGAGCAAAUUAAAAAGAUCGUACCACAAGAGGCAGAGACGGCUAACUCUGUGCCAGCAGCCGCGGUAAUACAGAGGUCUCAAGCGUUGUUCGGAAUCACUGGGCGUAAGGCGUGCGUAGGCUGUUUCGUAAGUCGUGUGUGAAAGGCGCGGGCUCAACCCGCGGACGGCACAUGAUACUGCGAGACUAGAGUAAUGGAGGGGGAACCGGAAUUCUCGGUGUAGCAGUGAAAUGCGUAGAUAUCGAGAGGAACACUCGUGGCGAAGGCGGGUUCCUGGACAUUAACUGACGCUGAGGCACGAAGGCCAGGGGAGCGAAAGGGAUUAGAUACCCCUGUAGUC
RNAcentral lists this ribosomal RNA (446 nucleotides) under uncultured bacterium. RNAcentral describes it as "partial 16S ribosomal RNA". It matches the Rfam family "Bacterial small subunit ribosomal RNA", at positions 338 to 795 of the family's 1533-position model. The record is from RNAcentral.